This 512-nucleotide ribosomal RNA is filed under the name uncultured bacterium. RNAcentral's name for it is "partial 16S ribosomal RNA". It matches the Rfam family "Bacterial small subunit ribosomal RNA", at positions 28 to 523 of the family's 1533-position model. The record is from RNAcentral.
GAUGAACGCUGGCGGCGUGCCUAACACAUGCAAGUCGAACGGAGUGUUGCGCUGAAAUUGAGAUUAGCUUGCUAAAGGAUAUUUCUUGUAACACUUAGUGGCGGACGGGUGAGUAACGCGUGAGUAACCUGCCUUACAGAGGGGGACAACAGUUGGAAACGACUGCUAAUACCGCAUAACGUAUCAACGGGGCAUCCCGAGGAUACCAAAGGAGCAAUCCGCUGUAAGAUGGACUCGCGUCCGAGUAGCCAGUUGGCGGGGUAACGGCCCACCAAAGCAACGAUCGGUAGCCGGACUGAGAGGUUGAACGGCCACAUUGGGACUGAGACACGGCCCAGACUCCUACGGGAGGCAGCAGUGGGGGAUAUUGCACAAUGGAGGAAACUCUGAUGCAGCAACGCCGCGUGAGGGAAGAAGGUCUUCGGAUUGUAAACCUUUGUUUUUAGUGACGAAAAAAAUGACGGUAGCUAAAGAGGAAGCCACGGCUAACUACGUGCCAGCCGCCGCGGUAA